RNAcentral lists this transfer RNA (58 nucleotides) under Gordionus alpestris. RNAcentral describes it as "tRNA-Tyr". The record is from RNAcentral. Lineage: Eukaryota; Metazoa; Nematomorpha; Gordioida; Chordodea; Parachordodidae.
AGUAAAUUUGAUACCUCAAGCUGUAAACUUGAGUAAGACUUAAUACAGUCAUUUACUA